Molecule: non-coding RNA, 26 nt
Filed under: Rattus norvegicus (Norway rat)
Lineage: Eukaryota; Metazoa; Chordata; Mammalia; Rodentia; Muridae
Source: RNAcentral
CAAGAGCUGGGACUAAAGAUGUGUGU